AAUCUGGGGUCUCCGGCCCCCGAGUUGUAAUUUGGAGAGGUAUCUUCGGGGGGAUCACUGGCCCAUGUUCCUUGGAACAGGACGUCGCAGAGGGUGAGAAUCCCGUGCCAGGCCGGCUGCCUCCCCCCCAUGUGAAGCGCCUUCGACGAGUCGAGUUGUUUGGGAAUGCAGCUCCAAGUGGGUGGUAAAUUUCAUCUAAAGCUAAAUACUGGCGAGAGACCGAUAGCGCACAAGUAGAGUGAUCGAAAGAUGAAAAGCACUUUGAAAAUAGAGUCAAAAAGUACGUGAAAUUGUUGAAAGGGAAGCGCUUGAGACCAGACUCGGACCGAGGCAAACAUCAGGCCCCGCGGGGCGGUGCACUUGCCUUGAGCCGGGCCAGCAUCAGUUGGUGUGGCGGGACAAUGGCCAGGGGAAUGUGGCUCCUCUCGGGGAGUGUUUUUAGCCCCACGCUCAAUGCCGCCAACGCCGACUGAGGACCGCGCUCCGGCUAGGAUGCUGGCUUAAUGGCCUUCAGCGACCCGUCUUGAAACACGGACCAAGGAGUCUAACAUCUAUGCGAGUGUUUGGGUGCGAAACCCUUGCGCGGAAUGAAAGUGAACGGAGGUGGGAACCCCUCUCCCGGGGGCGCACCAUCGACCGAUCCUGAUGUCUUCGGAUGGAUUUGAGUA
RNAcentral lists this ribosomal RNA (668 nucleotides) under Dissingia crassitunicata. RNAcentral's name for it is "partial 28S large subunit ribosomal RNA". It matches the Rfam family "Eukaryotic large subunit ribosomal RNA", at positions 119 to 796 of the family's 3401-position model. The record is from RNAcentral. Lineage: Eukaryota; Fungi; Ascomycota; Pezizomycetes; Pezizales; Helvellaceae.